Peromyscus leucopus (white-footed mouse) is the source of this 168-nucleotide small nuclear RNA. RefSeq annotates it as U1 spliceosomal RNA. The record is from RefSeq and is a predicted model, not a curated record. Lineage: Eukaryota; Metazoa; Chordata; Mammalia; Rodentia; Cricetidae. The transcript has a single exon.
AUACUUCCCUGGCAGGGGAGAUACCGUGAUCGUGAAAAUGGUUUUCCCAGGGCAAGACACCCCCAUUGUCCUCCAGAUGAGCUGGCCCUGUGAUUUCCCAAAAUGUGGGAAACUUGACCAUAUCAUUUGUGGUGGUGGUGGUGGUCGGGGUGCAUUGGCACUCUACCC